This 300-nucleotide ribosomal RNA is filed under the name uncultured Pseudoxanthomonas sp. Its description in RNAcentral is "bacterial SSU rRNA". It matches the Rfam family "Bacterial small subunit ribosomal RNA", at positions 494 to 795 of the family's 1533-position model. Lineage: Bacteria; Pseudomonadati; Pseudomonadota; Gammaproteobacteria; Lysobacterales; Lysobacteraceae. The record is from RNAcentral.
UGGACAGACGUGACGGGAGCUGCUGGGAUACGUAGGUGGCAUGCGUUGUCCUGGUGUAUUAGGUUUAAAGGGUGCGUAUGCGGGAAUUGAAGUCAGUGUUGAAAUACGGCAGCUUAACUGUCGAGGUGCCAUUGAUACUGGGUUACUUGAGUACUGAUGAGGUAGGCGGAAUGGACGGUGUAGCGGUGAAAUGCUUAGAUAUCGUCCAGAACACCGAUAGCGAAGGCAGCUUACUAAGGAGUAACUGACGCUGAGGCACGAAAGUGUGGGGAUCAAACAGGAUUAGAUACCCCGGUAGUC